This is a non-coding RNA of Potamilus streckersoni, 79 nucleotides long. NCBI's taxonomy places the organism in Eukaryota, Metazoa, Mollusca, Bivalvia, Unionida, Unionidae. The record is from the annotation of a GenBank genome assembly.
UUCCGGUGGCUCAGGCGGUUAAAGCGCCCGCCUCGGAUGCAGGAAAUGGCGGGUUCGAACACCGGCCGAAUUAUGCCAA